CUACGGGGCGCUCCAGUGGGGAAUAUUGGGCAAUGGGCGCAAGCCUGACCCAGCAACGCCGCGUGAGGGAAGAAGGUUCUCGGAUUGUAAACCUCUGUCCUUGGGGACGAAGAAAGUGACGGUACCCGAGGAGGAAGCUCCGGCUAACUACGUGCCAGCAGCCGCGGUAAUACGUAGGGAGCAAGCGUUGUCCGGAAUUACUGGGCGUAAAGGGUGCGUAGGCGGCAUAUUAAGUCAGGUGUGAAAUAUUCGGGCUCAACCCGAAGGGUGCAUUUGAAACUGGUAUGCUUGAGUGUGAGAGAGGAAAGUGGAAUUCCUAGUGUAGCGGUGAAAUGCGUAGAUAUUAGGAGGAACACCAGUGGCGAAGGCGACUUUCUGGCUCAUAACUGACGCUGAGGCACGAAAGCGUGGGUAGCAAACAGGAUUAGAUACCCCCGUAGUC
RNAcentral lists this ribosomal RNA (442 nucleotides) under uncultured bacterium. RNAcentral describes it as "partial 16S ribosomal RNA". It matches the Rfam family "Bacterial small subunit ribosomal RNA", at positions 339 to 795 of the family's 1533-position model. The record is from RNAcentral.